CCUACGGGGGGCAGCAGUGAGGAAUAUUGGUCAAUGGACGAGAGUCUGAACCAGCCAAGUAGCGUGAAGGAUGACUGCCCUAUGGGUUGUAAACUUCUUUUAUAUGGGAAUAAAACGUUCCACGUGUGGGAUUUUGUAUGUACCAUAUGAAUAAGGAUCGGCUAAAUCCGUGCCAGCAGCCGCGGUAAUACGGAGGAUCCGAGCGUUAUCCGGAUUUAUUGGGUGUAACGGGAGCGUAGGUGGAUUGGUAAGUCAGUUGUGAAAGUUUGCGGCUCAACCGUAAAAUUGCAGUUGAAACUGGCAGUCUUGAGUACAGUAGAGGUAGGCGGAAUUCGUGGUGUAGCGGUGAAAUGCUUAGAUAUCACGAAGAACUCCGAUUGCGAAGGCAGUUCACUGGACUGCAACUGACACUGAGGCUCGAAAGUGUGGGUAUCAAACAGGAUUAGAUACCCUUGUAGUC
RNAcentral lists this ribosomal RNA (460 nucleotides) under uncultured bacterium. RNAcentral's name for it is "partial 16S ribosomal RNA". It matches the Rfam family "Bacterial small subunit ribosomal RNA", at positions 338 to 795 of the family's 1533-position model. The record is from RNAcentral.